GCUCUAUCUGAAAGAUCACAAAGUUCCAGAUAAGUUUAAUCUAAAGAGCACAGCUAUUAGAAGCCUAUGUAUGAAAGCUAAUGUUCUAAGAUAGUAAUACCAAAACUUACAUUAAGAUUCUUAUCCUUCCGUGCAGAUCUGUACUCAUUAGUAUAAGUGGAAUCAUCAGCCAACAAAAGGUUCAGGAACUGCUCAGGUGUGCCUGGGAAAACAUCCUGCAUACAAGAGUACAGCUGCAGUAUCUUCAGGAGCUUUCACUUGUACUUUACCACCUCCUCUCACAGAGCUACUAUGAGCACGCAAGGCAGACUCUGCUCUCUCCUAUAGAGUAACAAGCCAACAAAAGAAGUUAAGUUUUCAGGCAAUCACAUCAAAGCUUAAAUGCUUUAUUAGCCAGCCAAAUAGGAGAGAUACCUUCUUUUCAACUUCUAACAUUGCAUGAUAAUUAUUAACUGCACGCUGCAGUGCUUUUUGUGUGUGGUUCCUGUUCCAAAACGAUGCAAAUUUAUACCUCA
This is a long non-coding RNA of Brassica napus (rape), 515 nucleotides long. RefSeq lists it as uncharacterized. The transcript has 2 exons. Lineage: Eukaryota; Viridiplantae; Streptophyta; Magnoliopsida; Brassicales; Brassicaceae. The record is from RefSeq and is a predicted model, not a curated record.